CUUCCGGUUUUCGCAGGUGAAAAAGAUCGCUUCCAAGAGACUGUUAUGAAACGUCGUUAGAGGCCACGUUGAAUUAUCCAGGAGGAAUGCCCCACCUCCAGCUGGUCCAAAAUGCAGCAGCAAGUUCCUCAGUCCCGGGCCAGGGGUGUCCAAAGUGCAGUGGCAGAGCCAGACAUCUUUUUUUGAGGUGGCCAAGUGGCAGCUCUGCGGGGACUGAAACAUUGGCCUUGGUAAGCAACGCUUGCUUUGAGGACAGACGGUAAUCCUGCGGCAAAACCCAGCUCAUCGCAAGCCAUCAUUACAUCUUUGUGACCCGGAGUGCUGCUCCCAAAAACCUCAACUUCCUACCUCCCUUCCUCCGCCACCCGGGAAAGAUGAUGCUUCGCCUCAUUCAUAUUACCAUUUCAAAGAUUUCCAGACAAAUCAGUCCGCAUGGCUUCGCAUUAGACUGGUGGGGGUGGUGGAGAGGCACUGUGAGUUUCCAAAUGUCUCUGAUAGUUAAGACACCGGGAGGCAAAGGAAUAUUGUGGCCAAACAUGAGUGCAAGUAUUCCUGACGUGACUUCAAAGUUGCAGUGGGGAGCGAGGCCAGGCUCCACCGUCAUGCUCGGACUAAAAUCCCAAAUCUAGGCCAAUAAAAAGACACAAACUCACUUUCCGUGAUGCAGUAUGUCGUCGCUGUAGCAUAAGACCCCACUUUGAAUAAUGGAGGAGUGUCUGUGUUGGCUAUAAUUGCACACAGAAUGCUCAUUUAACUUGUUGGCACUUGCUCAAACUUUGAUUUAAGCUGUUUUCCGAUUCAGUGUGAGCGAUUGCAUUGUCUGUGGUGCAUUUAAAGCAGGAAGAAAUACAAUUUCACCACUCAGAACUCACUUUAGUGACAUUUAGGCGUUAUUGCUCUAUUCUCUGAUGUCCUGAGUUGAAUGUGUUUGCAGCUGGGCUGCGAAUACGCUUUGGUAGAAACUACAAAGGCAGCCAAGACUGUGAACUUCACAGUGUUUCUACAAAAAAAAAUCUGCUUCAAGGGGAUAAAUAUUGCUGACGAGUCUUAGCGCUCCACAAGGGCAUUCUUUCUUUCCAGGGUGCGAUUGAAAGGCCCCAGUGCCCUGGAUUCAAAGCACUUUUACACAGCUCUACGUCUGGCGUCGUGAGCUCGCAUGGCUAUAUGAGGGCUGACACGCAGACAGAUAGGAUAUCAGAGGCAAGGAUGACACGAAGAUGGCCUCUGAAAUCAAUUGUCAUCCAGCACCACAUUGGUCUUACCUACUCAGUCUGCCAUCACUGUGCUCGAGCCCUUAAUCGACCCCCCUUUGGAACAGAUGAAGAGGCAACGAGACAUGCGAGCGUUACGCCACAUUCCACGCUUAUCAACCCCCACGAUCUCGCACAGCAAAAAAUGAUAACCAUUUGCAGGCAUUCAGUAAUAUUCAUCAUGUUCAGGGUCUCCUUUUUACAGCCCACAUUCAACUAUUCACCCUUAUUUUAGGCCCUGUCUACAUGGGAUUUUUUGUUUUGGCGGGUUGAAAAGCAGUAGCUCCUUCUUUUCUUGGUGGUAUGACUUGAUGUGAAUUUUCAAUGGUAAGUGACGUUUCAGUGGACUUCUUCGGUAUCAGCACCUCUUUUCAGCACCCCUGCAGUGUCCACGCUGGCGCCCGAGAGUGGCGUUACCUUGGCUCUUUUUUGCCUUGCCGUAUAAAGUGACGCGAAUAGCUGGCUGCGAUUUUUUUUUAUUAUUAUUUUUUUUUCAAAUGCGAUCAGAAUGUUUGAAAUGCUGUUGGAAUACCGUAAGAAUAUUUAGAAUGCAGUCAGAGUGCAGUUAGAAUACAUUUCAAAUGAUAUUUUUCCACUUCGAAUCCAACUAAAAUGUUUUUAGCAUGCUCAAAAUAUUCGGGACCCUUUUUAUAUUUGGAAUGCACUCAGAAUUUUUUGAAUGCACUUUGAACAUCCAGGAAUUUUCAUUCAGAUUCAUUCCACCUUCCAUUCUGGCUCAUUCCCCUUCUAGUGGGACUAGGGUAUCAAGGAAAGAAAUAGCCAUCCCAGUAGUAUAUCUUACAAUGCAUGCAAAACUAUUUGAAUGUGCAUGUUUUCCUCUUCGCUGCCUACAGUGUUUUGUUGAAGGUGAUUAGAAAAGAUGCCGCAAAAAUUAGAUUAAAUGUCCAUCCUGCAAGGAUAACAACAGUGAUACGGUGUUCAGAGAGGGCUGUUUUGUCAUUUCCGGGACCUUUUACUCAUUGAUUGUGGCUCAGUGGGUCAAAAGCAGCUUUUUUGAAGAAUUCUCCCUAUAAAGCAAAAAACCUGAAGCACAGUCUGCCAACACUGUGACCUUUUACGUUUUCAAAAAAUAUAUACUGCAUGCUGUAACACAUUACACCUAAAGGUUAACGACAAUACUCAAUCUACACGCUCCUUCUCCAUUCCAGCGCGGGCAAAUGCUUCAAGCAGGGAGACAAAAACAAAGCAAAAAGUUUCAAUUUUUAUACCAAAUGAUCUUAGAUUAAUCAAAUUGUAGGCAGCAUUGGCAAAUUAAUUACCAGGAAUAGGAAACGCUUCCAGUCAGGGGCUUAUGAAUAAAGAGCCAAGUAAUAGGUUGCUGAAGUGCACUAAACACAUCAACAAACAAGCUUUGGUAGGUUAAUUAAGAAGCUUUAGGCAUUCUUCCUGUUCUAAGACCUGUUCCACGGCCAGGAUUUGCUCAAUAAGGUUUCUCCUGUUCAUAAGCCUUCAGGCUGAAAAGAGACUAACAGCUGCAGUUUUGAUAAGAAUAAAGGAAUUGGAGUGGACCUCGCCAGAGGACGGAUGUGGCUUAGUUAUACAGGAAGAAUAUGUGAAUAUGGUUUGUUUUAGAAUUAUUAUAAACCUGGAUUUAAAAAAACAACACCUCAACUAAAAGUUGUGUAUUUUUUUUUGUAAAAUAAUUUAGCUACUUUUUAGAUAAAUUUUAAAAUUUCUACACGACAACUCAUCUCAGA
Long non-coding RNA from Dunckerocampus dactyliophorus (ringed pipefish), 2968 nucleotides. RefSeq lists it as uncharacterized. Lineage: Eukaryota; Metazoa; Chordata; Actinopteri; Syngnathiformes; Syngnathidae. The record is from RefSeq and is a predicted model, not a curated record. The transcript has 3 exons.